CAUGGGGUGGAAUUAAAAGGCCACCGGGGUGGAAGGUGGAGGCUGAUGUCAAGAGAACUGGCAUGGGGUGGAAUUAAAAGGCCACAGGGGUGGAAGGUGGAGGCUGAUGUCAAGAGGAACUGGCAUGGGGUGGAAGGUGGAGGCUGAUGUCAAGAGGACUGGCAUGGGGUGGAAGUAAAAGGCCACAGGGGUGGAAGGUGGAGGCUGAUGUCAAGAGGACUGGCAUGGGGUGGAAUUAAAAGACCACAGGGGUGGAAGGUGGAGGCUGAUGUCAAGAGGACUGGCAUGGGGUGGAAGGUGGAGGCUGAUGUCAAGAGAACUGGCAUGGGGUGGAAUUAAAAGGCCACCGGGGUGGAAGGUGGAGGCUGAUGUCAAGAGAACUGGCAUGGGGUGGAAUUAGCUGGAGAAAAAUACCCAGAUCAGUGUGAUCUGGGUUUUGAGAAGGUGAGGUAAGAUUUGAAUGAGGGGAGGAGGAUCUUCUGACCACCCAGGUUUUUGGAGCCUGUUCUGGCACCGCAUUGAAGUUUGUCAAGUCUGUGUCAGUCCCACUUUACAAUACACAGACCUUAUACCAUGUGUCAGUCCCACUUUACAAUACACAGACCUUAUACCAUGUGUCAGUCCCACUUUACAAUACACAGACCUUAUACCAUAUGUGUCAGUCCCACUUUACAAUACACAGACCUUAUACCAUAUGUGUCAGUCCCACUUUACAAUACACAGACCUUAUACCAUAUAAACUGGAUGGUUUGAGCCCUGAAUUAUGAUUGGCUGAAAGCCAUGGUAAAUCAGACCUUAUACAAUAGGUAUGACAUAUAUUAAAUGAACUGCUCUAAUUACGUUGGUAACCAGUUUAUAACAGCAAUAAGGCUCCUCAGGGGUUUGUUCUAAAUGACCACUGUACCGCAGUUAAGAUCUGAGUCCAGGCACUGCCCUUACCUGUGGUAUAUUGGCCGUAUACCACACCCCCUAGAGUUGUGUGUAAAUAACUGGUAAUACACAUGUUAUUACAUUGAGUGUGUAUUUUCUGAAACGUCUUGGUUGGUGAACAACCAUUGAG
Long non-coding RNA from Oncorhynchus nerka (sockeye salmon), 1060 nucleotides. RefSeq lists it as uncharacterized. The transcript is spliced from 3 exons. The record is from RefSeq and is a predicted model, not a curated record. Lineage: Eukaryota; Metazoa; Chordata; Actinopteri; Salmoniformes; Salmonidae.